This 69-nucleotide transfer RNA is filed under the name Marmota monax (woodchuck). It matches the Rfam family "tRNA". From Rfam's summary of the family: Transfer RNA (tRNA) molecules are approximately 80 nucleotides in length. Their secondary structure includes four short double-helical elements and three loops (D, anti-codon, and T loops). The record is from Rfam by way of RNAcentral. Lineage: Eukaryota; Metazoa; Chordata; Mammalia; Rodentia; Sciuridae.
GGAAUUGUGGCUCAGUGAUAGAGUGCUUGCCUAGCAUAUAUGAGGCACUGAGUUCGACUCUCAGCACCA